UUCUUCUUAACAUACACGGAUCUGUGCUCUGCGGUCCCCUGCGUUCACGCGUCAGGGUCGACUGCUUUGCAGCUCGAUAACUCUAUGGAGCCAUCAACUUGCUAUGGUGUCAAUCAUCCUAUCGACAGGUCCAAGAAGAAUUCGACCUCUGGCUGCCUCAUUCGCUGUCGCAAGACGGCUUGAGUGUUGUGGCUGGAGGACCCGGGGGCCCCAUAUUCCGAACCUUUCACCAAGGCCGUCGGCCGAUGAAGUUGAGGAAAACCAUGGGAUGCCUACAUCU
This is a non-coding RNA of Trichoderma gamsii, 280 nucleotides long. NCBI's taxonomy places the organism in Eukaryota, Fungi, Ascomycota, Sordariomycetes, Hypocreales, Hypocreaceae. The record is from Rfam.